AGCAGCCGCGGUAAUUCCAGCUCCAAUAGCGUAUAUUAAAGUUGUUGCAGUUAAAAAGCUCGUAGUUGAAUUUCGGGAUUAAUAUGCUGGUCGUGCCAUUGGUACGUACUAGUAUUAUUGAUUUCUCCCUUCUGAUGAAUCAUGAUGUCAUUAAUUUGAUGUCAUGGGGAAUCAGGACUGUUACUUUGAAAAAUUAGAGUGUUUAAAGCAGGCUCGCGCUUGAAUACAUUAGCAUGGAAUAAUGAAAUAGGACGUUUGAUUCUAUUUUGUUGGUUUCUAGGAUUGACGUAAUGAUUAAUAGGGAUAGUUGGGGGCAUUAGUAUUCAAUUGUCAGAGGUGAAAUUCUUGGAUUUAUUGAAGACUAACUACUGCGAAAGCAUUUGCCAAGGAUGUUUUCAUUAAUCAAGAACGAAAGUUAGGGGAUCGAAGACGAUCAGAUACCGUCGUAGUCUUAACCAUAAACUAUGCCGACUAGGGAUCGGAUGAUGUUAAUUUUUAANGUA
Molecule: ribosomal RNA, 503 nt
Filed under: uncultured Glomus
Lineage: Eukaryota; Fungi; Glomeromycota; Glomeromycetes; Glomerales; Glomeraceae
Description: SSU rRNA
Rfam family: Eukaryotic small subunit ribosomal RNA
Source: RNAcentral